AAGUAAGUUCAGUAUAACAGGAAGCACAGUCCGAGAUAGUCGACAGUCUGAAACGAUUGCAAAUAUCGACACAAGUUAAAUUCUAUAACGUAAAGUCAUGGUCCUAGCAAUGAUUAUAAUGUGAAACAAUUAUUGAAGGCGGUGGAAGACAUCAGUAAAGAUGCAAAAGACGUUCCUAUCAUCGAGGAAAAAAUCACAGAAGUAGCAGAAAACAUAAACAGCUUAAACAUGGAAGCAGGAAAGAAACUGAGUUGCUACGUGAUUGCUCAUUUUUCGCUAUCAAAAAUAUGCAACGAAGUGGAUGAAAUAAUAAGUCAUCGUUACAAAACAGAAAUAGAAAAUGGAAAGUAUAGGCACUUUUCUAGAAUGUAUCAAAUCAUCCGAUUACGAUGUGGACAAAUUGAUGAAAUUACUUUUUGAUGAAUUCAGCUUAUAUCAAGACGAAAUAAAAUACGAUGGCAAAAAGGUUUGUUUUCUUAUCAAAGCGAGAUCAUUGGUGAGCAACAUAUGGAAAUAUUUUGAUGAAAGACUUGAAUUUGAACUGAACACAGAAAAGCUGAUGUGUCUACGAUAUUCAUUGAUUAUCGUAUUCCUCAAUUAUUGCUUAAUGUUAAACUUUUGCGCUACAGUGACGUACUCGUGAAGAGAUUUGAAAAUAACAAUGAACUACUUGAGCAUGGAAGCAGGGAAGAAAUAGAGAUACGCGGUUGUUCACUUUUCGCAACCAAAGAAAUAUGCAAAGAAGUGGUUAGAUAACCAAGCCAGCAUCGCCUACAAAAAAACCGUCUUCUAAACCGUAUUUUUAAGUUAAAAACCGCGUUCAACCCACAGAUUUUAGAUGAUAAUUUUAUACUCAUAGAAACAGAUUAUUUCAUAACUCGAA
Nylanderia fulva is the source of this 883-nucleotide non-coding RNA. NCBI's taxonomy places the organism in Eukaryota, Metazoa, Arthropoda, Insecta, Hymenoptera, Formicidae. The record is from RefSeq and is a predicted model, not a curated record.